AAGUCGUAACAAGGUUUCCGUAGGUGAACCUGCGGAAGGAUCAUUAAAGGUGAACGUUGCCCGAAAAGGCACGUUUUCUUCAAACUCGAACCGUCGUGCACUUGUUUGUCACGGGUUUGCAUUUGUGAGCUUUGUUGGUGAGAGAGAAUUUUGUUUCUUUCUCACUGCAAAGCUUGAAAAGGAGCUUUUGAACUCUCUGCAGUUCAACAUCUCAGUGUAGGGCAGUGAGAUGACACUUUUGUGGUGUGGCUCUGAAAUACAAAUGCUUACUCGGUUAAUUCUUUGCUCUACAUUCUUCCAUCAUUCAAACUUUAUAAACCCCAUGUACAACAAGUUGAACUAAAUCACAUUUGCUCUCUUUUUCAAUGAGAGCGAAUGGCCAAAACCGAACUUAAGAACAACUCUUAACAACGGAUAUCUUGGUUCUC
This 428-nucleotide unclassified non-coding RNA is filed under the name fungal sp. RNAcentral's name for it is "partial internal transcribed spacer region". The stretch from base 1 to 46 matches the Rfam family "Eukaryotic small subunit ribosomal RNA", at positions 1786 to 1831 of the family's 1831-position model. The record is from RNAcentral. Lineage: Eukaryota; Fungi.